CAGGCCUAACACAUGCAAGUCGAGGGGCAGCGGGGGCAGAGCUUGCUCUGCCUGCCGGCGACCGGCGCACGGGUGCGUAACGCGUAUCGAACCUCCCCCAUACUCGGGAAUAGCCUUGCGAAAGUAAGAUUAAUGCCCGAUGGUCUCAGAAUAUGACAUCAUGCUUUGAGUAAAGAUUCAUCGGUAUGGGAUGGCGAUGCGUCUGAUUAGAUAGUUGGCGGGGUAACGGCCCACCAAGUCGUCGAUCAGUAGGGGUUCUGAGAGGAAGGUCCCCCACAUUGGAACUGAGACACGGUCCAAACUCCUACGGGAGGCAGCAGUGAGGAAUAUUGGUCAAUGGUCGGAAGACUGAACCAGCCAAGUAGCGUGAAGGAUGACUGCCCUACGGGUUGUAAACUUCUUUUAUGCGGGAAUAAAGUGCCCCGCGCGUGGGGUAUUGCAUGUACCGCGUGAAUAAGCAUCGGCUAAUUCCGUGCCAGCAGCCGCGGUAAUACGGAGGAUGCGAGCGUUAUCCGGAUUCAUUGGGUUUAAAGGGUGCGCAGGCGGCGCUCCAAGUCAGCGGUCAAAUCCGGGGGCUCAACCCUCGGCCGCCGUUGAUACUGGUGCGCUUGAGUAGGUGCGACGGAGGCGGAAUGCGUGGUGUAGCGGUGAAAUGCAUAGAUAUCACGCAGAACCCCGAUUGCGAAGGCGGCCUCCGAGCCCCCGACUGACGCUGAGGCACGAAAGCGUGGGUAUCGAACAGGAUUAGAUACCCUGGUAGUCCACGCGGUAAACGAUGAAUACUGGUUAUCCGGUCCGACUGGGGAUUGGGUGACUCAAGCGAAAGCAUUAAGUAUUCCACCUGGGGAGUACGCCGGCAACGGUGAAACUCAAAGGAAUUGACGGGGGCCCGCACAAGCGGAGGAACAUGUGGUUUAAUUCGAUGAUACGCGAGGAACCUUACCCGGGCUCAAACGCAUAGAGACUCGCGGUGAAAGCCGCGUUCCCCUCGGGGCUGUAUGCGAGGUGCUGCAAGGCUGUCGUCAGCUCGUGCCGUGAGGUGUCGGCUUAAGUGCCAUAACGAGCGCAACCCCCAUCUCCAGUUGCCAUCGGGUGAUGCCGGGCACUCUGGAGAGACUGCCGGCGCAAGCUGUGAGGAAGGCGGGGAUGACGUCAAAUCAGCACGGCCCUUACGUCCGGGGCGACACACGUGUUACAAUGGCGGGGCACAGCGGGAAGCCAGGCGGCGACGCCGCGCCGAUCCCCAAAACCCGUCUCAGUUCGGAUCGGAGUCUGCAACCCGACUCCGUGAAGCUGGAUUCGCUAGUAAUCGCGCAUCAGCCAUGGCGCGGUGAAUACGUUCCCGG
This 1346-nucleotide ribosomal RNA is filed under the name uncultured rumen bacterium. RNAcentral's name for it is "bacterial SSU rRNA". It matches the Rfam family "Bacterial small subunit ribosomal RNA", at positions 43 to 1377 of the family's 1533-position model. The record is from RNAcentral.